Long non-coding RNA from Dendroctonus ponderosae (mountain pine beetle), 781 nucleotides. RefSeq lists it as uncharacterized. The transcript is spliced from 2 exons. The record is from RefSeq and is a predicted model, not a curated record. NCBI's taxonomy places the organism in Eukaryota, Metazoa, Arthropoda, Insecta, Coleoptera, Curculionidae.
UUUUGAAAACUACGAGAAUCCCCCAAGGAAUGUCCCAUUCAUAACCAUUGUUUAAACGGGAGAGUGGCCGUGUGUUUAUUGAAUUGCAAACAAUAUAGAUAGCCUUAGCAUAUAAUUAGUUUCACUUGGGUAUUUACCAGUAACCACUAAUAAAAGGGCUUCAGUCAUUACCUGUGUUAGGAAAUGUUAAUAACCUGCAUAUAGUCAAGCCUGAUGUUCUGUUUGGUGAACAUUACAUAAAGUAAAGUUCAUAUAUAAAACAAACAAUUUCAGUUUAAAACAAAUCAAUUAUGUUGUCUAAAAAUCUCUGCAUUGCUGCUGUUUUAGUAGUAGUGUUUCAAACGACGUUUGUGGCCGCCAACAUAAUUUUCUCGAGCCGGAUUACAGAUUUAGGAACGCGAUCUCCCCAAGACCGCUCAUCUAUUUCUACUUUUACGACAGGAAUGGUGAUAAACCCACAUAAUAUAGCGAGCAAGGGUAUUAUUAAUGAAAAUAAAGGCAAGAAAUGUUCCUGUAUCUGCCGAAGAAAUGGAUUAGGUUGAUCGUGUUAGUAUUUAGUUAGUUAGUAAGUUAAUACAGCUUUUGUUCUCUUUUAAAAUAAGUAAGUACCCACUCAUUUAUUUUUUAAGCAGUUUGUUUUAAAAACAUUUUUUAAUUUAGUUGAUUAAUAAUUUAGCUUAGGUUGAUUUUAUAUAAUUGCUAAAAAAGAUGUAGUAUAAAAAAAUGGUAUGCGUCACGGAACGCUCGACAGAAGUGAUAACUUCAUAAAUUAAUAGAAACC